UACGGGGGGGCAAGCGUUGUUCGGAAUUACUGGGCGUAAAGGGCUCGUAGGCGGCCAACUAAGUCAGACGUGAAAUCCCUCGGCUUAACCGGGGAACUGCGUCUGAUACUGGAUGGCUUGAGUUUGGGAGAGGGAUGCGGAAUUCCAGGUGUAGCGGUGAAAUGCGUAGAUAUCUGGAGGAACACCGGUGGCGAAGGCGGCAUCCUGGACCAACACUGACGCUGAGGAGCGAAAGCGUGGGGAGCGAACAGG
RNAcentral lists this ribosomal RNA (252 nucleotides) under uncultured bacterium. RNAcentral describes it as "partial 16S ribosomal RNA". It matches the Rfam family "Bacterial small subunit ribosomal RNA", at positions 524 to 776 of the family's 1533-position model. The record is from RNAcentral.